Molecule: ribosomal RNA, 443 nt
Filed under: uncultured bacterium
Lineage: Bacteria
Description: partial 16S ribosomal RNA
Rfam family: Bacterial small subunit ribosomal RNA
Source: RNAcentral
CCUACGGGUGGCUGCAGUGGGGAAUAUUGGGCAAUGGAGGAAACUCUGACCCAGCAACGCCGCGUGAAUGAUGAAGGUCCUCGGAUUGUAAAGUUCUUUUCUAAGGGAAGAAGAAAGGGACGGUACCUUAGGAAUAAGCCUCGGCUAACUACGAGCCAGCAGCCGCGGCAAUACGUAGGAGGCGAGCGUUAUCCGGUAUGACUGGGCGUAAAGGGUGCGUAGGUGGUUUGGCAAGUUAGUAGGGAAACUCCAAGGCUCAACCUUGGAACUGCUACUGAAACUGUUGGACUUGAGUGCAGGAGGGGCAGCCGGAAUUCCUAGUGUAGCGGUGAAAUGCGUAGAUAUUAGGAGGAACACCGGUGGCGAAGGCGGGUUGCUAGACUGUAACUGACACUGAGGCACGAAAGCGUGGGGAGCAAACAGGAUUAGAUACCCCUGUAGUC